AAAGUUGUUGCAGUUAAAAAGCUCGUAGUUGGAUUUCGGGACGGCACGGUCGGUCCACCGCAAGGUGUGUCACUGGCCGGGCUGUUCUUCCUCGCAAAGACUGCGUGUGCUCUUAGCUGAGUGUGCGCAGGACUUGCGACGUUUACUUUGAAAAAAUUAGAGUGUUCAAAGCAGGCCAUCGCUUGAAUACAUAAGCAUGGAAUAAUGGAAUAGGACUUUGGUUCUAUUUUGUUGGUUUCUGGAAGCGAAGUAAUGAUUAAGAGGGACAGUUGGGGGCAUUCGUAUUUCGUUGUCAGAGGUGAAAUUCUUGGAUUUACGAAAGACGAACUACUGCGAAAGCAUUUGCCAAGAAUGUUUUCAUUAAUCAAGAACGAAAGUUAGAGGAUCGAAGACGAUCAGAUACCGUCCUAGUUCUAACCAUAAACGAUGCCGACUAGGGAUCAGAGAGUGUUAUUGGAUGACCUCUUUGGCACCUUAUGGGAAACCAAAGUUUUUGGGUUCCG
RNAcentral lists this ribosomal RNA (503 nucleotides) under Nematostella vectensis (starlet sea anemone). Its description in RNAcentral is "Eukaryotic small subunit ribosomal RNA". It matches the Rfam family "Eukaryotic small subunit ribosomal RNA", at positions 606 to 1116 of the family's 1831-position model. Lineage: Eukaryota; Metazoa; Cnidaria; Anthozoa; Actiniaria; Edwardsiidae. The record is from Rfam by way of RNAcentral.